UAAAGAGUUUGAUCCUGGCUCAGGACGAACGCUGGCGGCGUGCCUAACACAUGCAAGUCGAACGGUCCGGCACACAACCGACCCUCAGUCUAACUGUAGGGGAAGUUAAGUGCUGGGUAGUGGCGGACGGGUGAGUAACGCGUGGGCAACUAACCCUGUACAGUGGGAUAACACCGGGAAACGGGUGCUAAUACCGCAUGAAA
This 203-nucleotide ribosomal RNA is filed under the name Clostridiales bacterium. Its description in RNAcentral is "partial 16S ribosomal RNA". It matches the Rfam family "Bacterial small subunit ribosomal RNA", at positions 1 to 178 of the family's 1533-position model. The record is from RNAcentral. Lineage: Bacteria; Bacillati; Bacillota; Clostridia; Eubacteriales.